RNAcentral lists this long non-coding RNA (2396 nucleotides) under Xyrichtys novacula (pearly razorfish). Lineage: Eukaryota; Metazoa; Chordata; Actinopteri; Labriformes; Labridae. The record is from RNAcentral.
AAACAUGAAAAUAAAUGAAGGAAUGAUGUUUUAUUUUAAUCUGCAGAGUCUUUGUUGCUUUACCUCUCUUCACUUUUGUUACUUUCCCGUCUCUCCUCCUGGGGUUUAUCUUCUUUUUUUUUUCUCGGUGUAAUCUCUUUUUUCUUUCUUUCUUUCUGUCUGUCUCUGUUUUUCUGUUCGAGUUUGAUUCCCACCCUCUCCGAGAGUUUCUCUAUCCCUCCAGCGUAUCGCAGAGCUGCUGUCAGAUGUUAUCAUCUGAUGUCUUGCUGCUUUCUCAACCCUCGGUACGUUAGAUUGGAAACUCCUUUUCUGUUUCCUAUUUUUCCAUCUUUUCCUCAGUCCUUCGUUUUUAUCCUUUCCUCAGUCCAUCAGCCAUCCUCCUAAACGUCCCCUUUUAUUGCACUUUUCUUGCUCGCUUUAAUUCCUCUGUAAAUAAACAUGAAAAAAGAGCAACCUGCACAUAACAGGCCGAGCUACAUCCAUCACUUCUGCUGGAUCAGCUGUUAUUUGUCGUUUUCGUCGCUCUUGCAGCCUCAGGGUUUGUGUUUACAUCAUGUCUAAUCACAACACCACCAAGCAAGACAAAACAGAAAAUGAAAUAUCAGCCUUUGCAUGUAAUUACAAACUCAGCAUGACUCUGUCAAACCACAAACUCCCAGACUUACAGUAGGAGUCAGUGAUCAGGGGAGUCAGAGCUCAGAGUCACACGCUGGGAUCACAGCAGGUUUAAUUAUUAUCUGAAAUAUGUGAUACUAAUAAAGAGUGGAGAUUGAUUUCCCACGUGAAAACAUUUGAUUAUAUGGAAAUGUAUUUGAACCAAGAAGGAUACAGAGUCUUGAACCUAAGUGGCAAUUUUAUUCACUGAAUCAAUCCAGACUUUCUGCCGUCUGAAUAUUUUUAUCUCUUAACGAUUCGACUCGACCCGAAACAAACAAGAACUAUUGAUGCCAGAGUUAUAAAAGUUCAAUCAAACUCAUUCUUAAGCAAAACUCAUAAAUACGAAAGUCUCACACCAACUGAAGUGAACUACUCGGUUUUUUAUUCCCUUAUAUUUACGCGACUGUUGUGGUUACUGUCAAAAUAAAGGUACAGAGCGUCCAAUCAUGACCGUGUCCUGCAGGAAACUCGAGUUUAAGCUUUAAAUUUGACUCAUGAUGAAGAACCACAGUCUUUACUUUAGUGGUCUGAUAAGAACAUCUGAGUGUCAUCUGCAUAAGGUCGUAUAUUUUGUUUUGAUUUGUAAAGUUAGACGAUUUUGCAGAGGGUCUUCGUUUCAGUUUGAGAUCUCAUUUAAGUCGCCUCUCUUUGAACUCCUGUGGAUUUUAGGAUGAGGACAUUUUUCUACCUUCGUGGAGUCUGUAAUCUACAUUUUGCAGCUCUGUAGCGCACUCUAAAAACUCUCUGUUUUUCUGAGAGGAACCCAAUGAUUGUGUCAGAAUGUUGGGUUCGAUUGACUCUUCAUGGUUUCUAGUCCGAAUGGCAAUUAUAUUAAUGGCAAAUAUAUCUCAGGCGGCUGGGGUAGCUCAGCGGGUUGAAAUCCCACAUGAGACGCAUCUGUAAACGCGAACGGCAUCUACCAGUGUGGGUUCUUAGGCAAAAUCCUUAGCGCUAUGGCCUACCUCAUGAGCGUGUAAUAAGUAGUUGGUCACUUUCCAACCCUGGUGUUGGGUUUUUAGAGUGUAAAAUGGGAUGUGGCCCAUUUCAUCCAACAUGAGUGACAGUGGGGAGAAAAAAACUUCCUUUUAACAGGCAGAAACCUUGAGCAGGACCAGACUCAGACCAGACACCUAGUGGCAGACUCCCCAGCCACCAGGCGCUGCUGGGUUGGGGAGGAAUACAGAGAGAUAGAAAGAGAUAAUAACUUGGAACUCUUUUCAGUCCUUUCACAGCUGAAGGGCUUGGUCUUCUCAAGGACUGACCUUUUUUUUUUAAGAUAUAAACUGAUGCUUAAUUUAUGCACAGAAACCCUCGAAGGAGGGAGAAGGGCAGACGGGGUCGAACCCGGCCCAAGAGCAGAUAUUUCUCAUAACCUGAUGUCACUUAAUGAUUAAUACUUCUUACCUGCAGCCAGUGGGAUUGGUGCAGACUUUUCUUUUUUAAAACAAAAGUUUAGCAGAGACUCAAACAAAGAGCUGUUUGUAAUUUCAGUGACCAAGUAUCUGUCCUGGAUGUCAGCGGCCUGAUCGUAUACCUGCUGCAGCUCCUUGAGGAAUGUUCCUGAGACGUUCCUAGAUUUGCUCCGUAUCUCCUCACAGUUUUUGAAUCUUUGUAUCCUGCUGAAGCUGAGUGUGUUUUGACCUAAACGUGGGGGACAUCUGUGUACGUCAGGCAGUCAUACAAACUUCUUUGUGGUCGAAUCACGCUGCACCGGACACUCGAAGUCUUCUGAAGAAUCU